RNAcentral lists this ribosomal RNA (548 nucleotides) under Pseudorhaetus sinicus concolor. RNAcentral describes it as "partial 16S ribosomal RNA". It matches the Rfam family "Bacterial large subunit ribosomal RNA", at positions 1798 to 2619 of the family's 2925-position model. The record is from RNAcentral. Lineage: Eukaryota; Metazoa; Arthropoda; Insecta; Coleoptera; Lucanidae.
GCCUGUUUAUCAAAAACAUGGCCUUUUGGUAAUGAUUUAAGGUCUGGCCUGCCCAAUGAGGUGUUAAAUGGCCGCGGUACUCUGACCGUGCAAAGGUAGCAUAAUCAUUAGUUUUUUAAUUGGAAGCUGGUAUGAACGGUCGGACAAGGAAAUAGCUGUCUUUAUUUAAGGAGUAGAAUUUAAUUUUUUAGUAAGAAAGCUAAAAUGGGUUUAAGGGACGAGAAGACCCUAUAGAAUUUUAUAAGUUACUUAUUGGUUGAUUUUAGGUUUAUUUAUUUGAUUUUUAGGUAGAUUAUUUUGUUGGGGUGAUAGAAAAAUUUGUAUAACUUUUUUUAGUUUGUAUUUACUGAUUUGUAAAUUAUUGAUCCACAAUUAGUGAUUAUAAGAUUAAAUUACCUUAGGGAUAACAGCGUAAUUAAUUUGGAGAGUUCUUAUCGAUAAAUUAGUUUGCGACCUCGAUGUUGGAUUAAAAUGAACUUUUGGUGAAGGAGCUAUUAGGUUAAGUCUGUUCGACUUUUAAAAUUUUACAUGAUCUGAGUUCAGACCGG